Molecule: ribosomal RNA, 369 nt
Filed under: Phaeodactylum tricornutum
Lineage: Eukaryota; Bacillariophyta; Bacillariophyceae; Surirellales; Neidiaceae
Description: SSU rRNA
Rfam family: Eukaryotic small subunit ribosomal RNA
Source: RNAcentral
AAAAAGCUCGUAGUUGGAUUUGUGGUGGGCCCGGUGGCUCGGCCUUAGUUGGCCGUUGCUGUUUUGGGUCCGCCAUCCUUGGGUGGAAUCAGUGUGGCAUUAAGUUGUCGCGCUGGGGAUGCCCAUCGUUUACUGUGAAAAAAUUAGAGUGUUCAAAGCAGGCUUACGCCGUUGAAUAUAUUAGCAUGGAAUAAUGAGAUAGGACCUUGGUACUAUUUUGUUGGUUUGCGCACCGAGGUAAUGAUUAAUAGGGACAGUUGGGGGUAUUCGUAUUCCAUUGUCAGAGGUGAAAUUCUUGGAUUUCUGGAAGACGAACUACUGCGAAAGCAUUUACCAAGGAUGUUUUCAUUAAUCAAGAACGAAAGUUAG